Molecule: RNA transcript, 1251 nt
Organism: Lycium barbarum (goji berry)
Lineage: Eukaryota; Viridiplantae; Streptophyta; Magnoliopsida; Solanales; Solanaceae
Gene name: psbP domain-containing protein 2, chloroplastic
Exons: 4
Source: RefSeq, a predicted model, not a curated record
UUCAGCUCAUCUUAAGGCAGUAUAUGGCAGCAGCAGCAGAACGAAUAAGAUGAACCUUUCAUCUUCGCUCAACAAUAAGGGACAAACAAUGUCCGCCUUUAGCUCAGUACCAGCUUGUUCAAUUACCUAUCAUAAUGGCUUCUUUAAAACCCUUGCAACUAUGAAAAAUAGAAAGCAAACCUUAACUGUAUCAUCAUCAUUCUCUAUUCCUUUCAAUAAUGAGUUAAUGGAAGAAUUGGUUCCAAUUGUUUCAAGCAGACGAGCUGUAAAUGUAUCGAUUUUAACGGUGUUAUUAUGGGACACUUUAUCAUGCUUUGUUGCUAUGGCGAAUGGUGAAGUGUUAGAGCUAGAAAGAUAUACGGAUUCAGUUGAAGGUUUCACUCUCCUCAGACCUUCUUCUUGGAUUAAGGUUGAUAAAGCUGGGGCAACUGCCCUGUUUCAGGAUACAAACAAGGGAUCCAACAAUGUAGGUGUUGUGGUUAUCCCUGUAAAAAUAACAACCCUUAGCCAAUUCGGGAAUCCACAAUUUGUGGCAGAUAAGCUAAUUCUGGCUGAAAAGCGCAAGGAAAGCACAAAGGAGGCUGAGGUGGUUGCAGUAUCAGAGAGAACAGGCGAAGGAGGUCUUCAAGUGUAUGAGUUUGAGUACAAGGUUGAUAGCACAAGGGGAGGGUUGAAGAGGAUACUUUCUGCUGCAUUUGUGGCGUCUGGGAAGCUCUAUCUGUUAAACAUUGCUCACUCUGAUGGGUUAGAAAGUCCUAUUGACCCAGAUAGAAGAAAUACAUUGGAACAGAUUCUACAUUCCUUUGAUGUUGCUCCUUCCACUUAAAUGGCAUUAAGCUCAUAUUUUUUCUCAUUGGGCUUCGACCGGCCUGCCUGUUGCUGGGAUCAAAACCAAAGUUCUCCAGGAAAUCCUAUGUUAAAUCAGCCACUAUUGGGUGAGGCUUGAUGUUAACGACAGCUCUGCCUGUUGUAAGCUUGAGGGAAAGAUGAAGUAUCAGUGAGGUUCACGACAUCCUGAGAUGAUGGAGAGUUAGCUAAAAGGAACUUAUUUUAUAUUUUUAUUUUGUAUUCUAUUGGUCUGAUAUGAGCUUAAAUUGGCGACACGGUUUAGUGAGGACUCAUAUAGUUGAUCCAUCUAAUGAUCUUUGUUGUCUUAUGUUUCAUGAACAAAAUGAAAAUAAUUUUGAUGUGUUUGGUUCACUCAUGAAAUACUGGAUCAGAAGUGAUAUGGAGAGCAAUUUUUCCAGAGCU